RNAcentral lists this ribosomal RNA (233 nucleotides) under uncultured bacterium. RNAcentral's name for it is "partial 16S ribosomal RNA". It matches the Rfam family "Bacterial small subunit ribosomal RNA", at positions 103 to 334 of the family's 1533-position model. The record is from RNAcentral.
CGGGUAGCGUAACACGUGAGCAACCUACCGAAAUGAGGGGGAUAGCCGUCCCAACGGACGGGUAAUACCGCAUACGCUCUAGUUCAGGCAUUUGGAUUAGAGGAAACCUCCGGGGGCAUUUCGAGGGGCUCGCGGCCUAUCAGCUAGUUGGUGAGGUAACGGCUCACCAAGGCGACGACGGGUAGCUGGUCUGAGAGGAUGGCCAGCCACAUUGGGACUGAGAUACGGCCCAG